GUGAGUGGCAUCAGGAUGUCUGAGAGGAGAGCAUGGUGUUUUUGCUUCAUUGGAUCCAUGCAGGUCUUGGAGGGUGGUGGCCCACUCUUUCUGGGCCAAGUAGAGGGUGGCUCAGACACCCCCCCUUCCUCCAGGCUUCUCAUCUGUAACUGGUGAAGCCCGGAAGAGCUUGUUGUUCAAGAGGAAAUCUUGUGUUACUUCUUUAUGAAGGACUCCAGCCUGGUGGAGAUGAAUGAGUCCUGAAGAUGGAAUCGAAGCUGUUUGGGCACAAGUAAGCUGGAAGGGGUUGAGGGACAUUUUCAAGGAGUGAUGUCUUGAGAGAAAAAUGGAAAGAAAUCCACAGGCAGAAAAGAGAUAUCUAGAUAUGAAAACAUGGGGCAGGGGGAGGGAGAGAGAGAGAAGAGAAUGCAGAGAAAGAGAGAGACAUACAGGAGAGGACGUGUAGGUACCAACAGAGGAGAUGGCCCAUGAACUCAGAGGAGAAACUCUUCUUGCCUCAGCCAAAGUGAGCUUCCUAAAAAGCCAUUUUGACCCCUGCUAAAAAUUCUCUCCUGGCUGUGAUUCCUACGGGAGUCAGUUGCAGUGUCUUGGCUGGGAAUAGGUGAGCCUCUCCAUCUACCCCCAGUUUCUCUCUCCAGCCUUAUCUCUCACUUGUCCUCAACUGUGACCUUGCCCUUCUGCCACAUGAGCCUUCUUAGGAUCCCCAAGAGUGCCAGCCUCUUUCAGAACAGUGUGAUUUUAUCUGUGUUUAUUUCUGUCUAUCCUACUCUCCUGUAUUCUUUCCCUGGCAAACUCCUACUCAUCCUUCAAGACUCAGCUCUCAGAUCUCCUCCUCUGUGACAUUUUCCUGACAUUCCCAGGAGGCAUUAUUCAUCCUCUGACCCCCACCCCCGACUCUAGCUAGGCUGCAUUGAAAAAUGUCUGUGUUUACAAGUCUCUUGCUCUACACCUUCCUUCCUCUACAGCUAUUCCUCUGCUCAUUCGUUUACUCAUUCAAGAAAUGUACAUUAAGACCUUACUGUGUGACAGAUAUUGUUCUAGACACUGGGGAUUUAGCAAUAUACAAAAUCCCCUGCCCUUCUGGAGGUGUAUUUGUGGAUUUCAUUCAUUUCAGUAGCUGUAUUUGUGGAUGUAUUAAUGAGGCUCUUUUAUAGUAAGAAACAGAAACUUGCUCAGGCUAGCUCUAGAAAUGGGUAUUACUGUAAAAUGGUGGCAAUAAGGAAGGCAGAAAAUCUCACAGAGACCCAAGAGCAGCUGCACAGCUGAGCUUCACAGCUUCUGUAACUCGUUAAUUGGCUCAUUCAUGGCCCUUCCUAGGCCCAUGUCAUUUAAGAAACUUUUUAUUGUGAUAUGAAAUACAUACAUAAAAGUGCAUAUAUCACAAAAGUACAGCUCAAU
This 1398-nucleotide long non-coding RNA is filed under the name Homo sapiens (human). RNAcentral's name for it is "non-protein coding ZNF503-AS1:12". Lineage: Eukaryota; Metazoa; Chordata; Mammalia; Primates; Hominidae. The record is from RNAcentral.